CAGCAGCCACGGUAAUACGUAGGGUGCAAGCGUUAUCCGGAAUUAUUGGGCGUAAAGAGCUCGUAGGCGGUUUGUCGCGUCUGCUGUGAAAACUGGAGGCUCAACCUCCAGCCUGCAGUGGGUACGGGCAGACUAGAGUGCGGUAGGGGAGAUUGGAAUUCCUGGUGUAGCGGUGGAAUGCGCAGAUAUCAGGAGGAACACCGAUGGCGAAGGCAGAUCUCUGGGCCGUAACUGACGCUGAGGAGCGAAAGCGUGGGGAGCGAACAGGAUUAGAUACCCGAGUAGUCCCUGUCUCUUAUAC
This 301-nucleotide ribosomal RNA is filed under the name uncultured bacterium. RNAcentral's name for it is "partial 16S ribosomal RNA". It matches the Rfam family "Bacterial small subunit ribosomal RNA", at positions 509 to 807 of the family's 1533-position model. The record is from RNAcentral.